AAUAACACUGGCAGGUAAGUACUAUCAUUAUCCCCAUUUUACAGAUGAGGAAACUGAAACAAACAAGAGGUUAAAUGAUUUGCCCAGAAUUAUAAGCAAAUAUUUGUCUAAGACUGGAUUUGAAUUCAGGUCUUCCUGCCUCCAGGUCAUGGACUCUAACCACUGCACCAACUAGCUGCUGAGAAGAAAGCCAUAGCAUUUUGAAGUCCCAUAGUACUUCUAUCUGAUUGUUAAAUGAAUGGCCUGUGUGUAAGAAUAACUUUUAUCAUUCAACUAUAACUCACAUUUACAAACUGUUUUUCUUACAACAAUUCAGUGAUAUAGAAUCAGCAUGAAUUUCAUCAUCUCCAUUUUCCAGAUGAGGAAAAUGAAGCUCAGACACAUCUGAAUUAUAUGGACAUCUAUUGUCAACCAACCAAUUCAGAAGCCUUCAUGUGCAUCUACUGUGUGUCAGGUUUCAAAAAUCAUCAACCAAGAUGAGCCACUACUGGAUUUGUUUUUAUUUUUUUUUCAACUGAAUUCUAGUUCCAAUAAAGCCACUCAUUCACAGAGCUUAUCCUUCUUCACCUCAUUAGUAUUAGGUUGCUUCACUUUGGGAUUUAUUUUCCCAUGAUUAGCAGAGUAACUGUGGAAAGUGAGAAGACCUGCAGAGGUAAAGAAAGCAAAUGAUGUUGUUUUAGAAGCUGUUGCAUUAUCAUUUCCAUCUGACUAAGAUGGCAUUGAACUUGGGGAUUUAAACAGAAGGAAGAACUCUACACCAGAGGUUUCAAACAGGCAUGCAGCCUUACUGCAACACUGAGUGGGACAGAGAAUAAGUUAAAUGUAAUUGGGUAAUCCUUUACAAAAUAAGUAAAAAUGCAAUGCAACAUAGAUAAUUUUAAUAUAUGAUUUUCUAAGUCUGUAUGUGGCUGCAGGGAUCUUUAUGUACUAUUUAAUGGACCUAGUUUCUAUCUGAGUUUGAUGCCACUGUAUGUGUUCUAGCAAUAAAAACAAUAUCUGCUUAUACA
RNAcentral lists this long non-coding RNA (1007 nucleotides) under Phascolarctos cinereus (koala). Its description in RNAcentral is "lncRNA (ENSPCIG00000031144.1)". The record is from RNAcentral. Lineage: Eukaryota; Metazoa; Chordata; Mammalia; Diprotodontia; Phascolarctidae.